GGAUAUAGCUCAGUUGGUAGAGUGCUUGCUUUGCAUGCACAAAGCCUUGGGUUCAAUUCCCAGCAAUUAA
RNAcentral lists this transfer RNA (70 nucleotides) under Marmota monax (woodchuck). RNAcentral's name for it is "tRNA.Ala". The stretch from base 6 to 63 matches the Rfam family "tRNA", at positions 8 to 63 of the family's 71-position model. Rfam says of the family: Transfer RNA (tRNA) molecules are approximately 80 nucleotides in length. Their secondary structure includes four short double-helical elements and three loops (D, anti-codon, and T loops). Further hydrogen bonds mediate the characteristic L-shaped molecular structure. tRNAs have two regions of fundamental functional importance: the anti-codon, which is responsible for specific mRNA codon recognition, and the 3' end, to which the tRNAs corresponding amino acid is attached (by aminoacyl-tRNA synthetases). tRNAs cope with the degeneracy of the genetic code in two manners: having more than one tRNA (with a specific anti-codon) for a particular amino acid; and 'wobble' base-pairing, i.e. permitting non-standard base-pairing at the 3rd anti-codon position. The record is from RNAcentral. Lineage: Eukaryota; Metazoa; Chordata; Mammalia; Rodentia; Sciuridae.